This 106-nucleotide small nuclear RNA is filed under the name Myotis lucifugus (little brown bat). RNAcentral describes it as "U4 spliceosomal RNA (ENSMLUG00000018514.1)". It matches the Rfam family "U4 spliceosomal RNA", at positions 1 to 107 of the family's 138-position model. Rfam says of the family: U4 small nuclear RNA (U4 snRNA) is a component of the major U2-dependent spliceosome. The record is from RNAcentral. Lineage: Eukaryota; Metazoa; Chordata; Mammalia; Chiroptera; Vespertilionidae.
AGCUUUGCGCAGUGGCAGUAUUGUAACCAAUGAGUUUUAUCCGAGGCACGAUUAUUGCUAAUUGAAAGAAAAAAUAAUGGCCCCAAAGUGCAAGAGUAGUCAUGCU